GCUCGAGGGGCCGAAUGGCCUACUCCUGCACUUGUUUUCUAUGUUUCUAUGUUUACCCACGCCCUCUAAUGUUUCACGUACACUGCCUGGUGGGUCAGUCCGUACAUUCCAUUCUGCACCAAUGUCGGUAUUCUCUGUCGGCUACCCGCUUCCAAUCUCUCAUUUGAUUCCUUUGCAGUAGAACAUAUGAGCAAUCUCUCCCACCGGGGGGGGGGCCUGAAGGUGAUCAGAGUUCUCCUCACUCCUACUCUGACAGCAACCUGCUCACAUCUGAGAACUCACCACAUGCAGAUCCUAUCUCAACACCGUGCGCUAAAUGUCACUCUCUGAACUGCUGACCACAAUUGUCAGAUCAUGUAGGUCUGUCAUCUGGAUCAGUGGGACUUCUUGGCUACCUCAGAGAAUGGAGAAUGCACAAGGGUGCAAUUUAGCACUAGUGGGUGGGGGUGAGGAUGGAGUCACCCGCUAGUGCGUGCAUAUACAAGCAAGGAUAAGGGUUACCUUAUGUAACCCUUAUGCGAGGGUAAAUUUUCUUAUAGACACAAAAUGCUGGAGUGACUCAGUGGGGCAGGCAGCAUCUCUGGAGAGAAGAAUUGGGUGUAUCAAUACUUUUCUUAAGACCCUUACAUGUCAGAUUUUACGCAAGUCACAAUCACCAUGCCCGUAUCCUAUCCACAGUAACUCAUUGAUAGCACAAAUUGUCAGCAGUGUCUGUCUGGCUGCGUCCAGGGCACUUUCUACAGCGUGUGGCCUUCUGGGUAACUAUGCCACCAUUGCCGUCUUUAGUUCCAUCUCACCAUUGUGGCACUUCCUGGCCUUUUGGAUAAGUACCAUUGCCCGCUUGGUUCCAAUGUAAACAUUUAGUGAUCGUACAGUGUUGUGGAAAUUACAAACAGUCUUGAUCACUACGAGAACAAUAAGAUGGAUAGGAGGGCAAUAAACUGUGGCUACCGCUAUUGAAGUAUCAGCAAAUGGGCAUAGAUAAUUGUGUAUCAUGAUCCCAAGGAUAAGGGACUGAGUGAAGAAUUAUUUACGUAAGUGCAAGUUUACGUAAGUUGCCUAUUGCAUGUCGAGAACAGUUAAUUUAUCAACCAUAAGAGAUUUUACAAUCACAGAGAUACAGCAUGGAAACAGACCCGUCGGCCCAACUUGCCCACACCGGCCAACAUGUCCCAGCUGCACUGGUCCCACCUGCCUGUGUGUGGUCCAUAUCCCUCCAAACCUGUCCUAUCCAUUUUAGGACAUGGGAUAACUGGCUGAGUAUAAUAUCAUCUUUAAUAGUCUAUGAUCUGCUACUAACCAAUCACUUUGGCUGAUUAACAAGAUUGACCUGCUGGUUCAUCUCAAGAGAGAGAAAGCCAGUGGAGCUGUGCUUGACCCUGCUGGUGUGGUUCCCUCAUGCUGUUUGUCUGUUCCCUUCUCCUGCAAGCGGAGUGCGUUGAUGACUAUUUUGCAAUGUGAGUGAAUGAUAUCCUCCAAAGUUUGAUCAGAUUCAGUGUGCGUGAGGGAUGGAGUGUAUGAAUGUGUGACAUUUAAAUGUCAGGUCUCAGCCCCCAGGUUCGAGACGUGAGGAAGCUACACAAUCACUAUGUCUUGUGUAGGAAGGAACUGCAGAGUUGCUGGUUUACACCGAGGAUAGAUACAAAAUGCUGGAGUAAUUCAACAGCACAGGCUGCAUCUCUGGAGAGAAGAAAUGGGUGAAGUUUCGGGUCGAGAUCCUUCUUCAGACCCUGAGAUUCUGCCUGUCCCAUUGAGUUAAUCCAGCAAUUUGUGUCUAUCUUCAAUUAUUAUGUCUUGUUUGGACCAAUGUGCGAGUUUAAUUAUACAGUAGAUGCAGGAGCAACUAGGUGAUGCGUUGACACACCUUGACCAUGCAGUUCUGCUAAAUGUUAUUUGUCAGUCUGUCCUUUGCACUCACUGGGUGUAGGAAGGAAUUUCAGAUAGACACAGAAAGUUGGAGUAACUCAGCGGGACAGGCAGCAUCUCUGGAGAGAAGGAAUGGGUGACGUUUCGGAUUACUCCAGCAUUUUGUGUCUACCCAUUUCCUUUCUCCAGAAAUGCUUUCUGACCCGCUGAGUUACUCCAGCUUUUUCGUGUCUAUUCCUUCCUAUGAACCCGUUGCUUAAUGACGCGUUAGUAUUUCUGCAUUGGUUGGAUGAUAAACUCAAAUGAUCACGGGGUUUGGAGAGGAUGUCUAUCUGAUAGGGUCCCUUUAUUGGCAUUUAUACGACAUAACAAAGGGCGAGAAAACCAGGAUGAGUAUUUGCAUAAACCAUUGUGAAGUCAACUAGCCCACUCUGCCAUCAGUAGGAAACACACUCACUACGUCCCGACACUCACGUUUCUCAAACAUAUUGAUCACACAUUCCAAAAACCAAAAUGACAUAAACAAUGUGUGUUUAUUUUCAAAGACGUUUUGUUUUACCAUUAAGUUAAAACAAGGGAACCUCCUCAUGAGUUACAAGGUUGGGAAAUAUUGGAUGUGUGACAUCCAUCUCUGCUUUAUUGUUUUUAAAAUACUCGUACGAAACAGUAUGCAGUCUAUAAAAAUGUGUGUUCAAACCAUUUAUCCAGGCAAAUUCUAGUCUUUGAUACUUUGCGUUUGAUGAAAAUAGACAAACAAAAAAUAUAUACUCGCUAUUUUAUUUUGUUAUUCCAGAUUGUUCAAUAGCUUCAGGCUAAGAGAAGCAUCUUUUCAUCAUAUUUCUUCCACUAUUUCCUUUUCUUCCUCCACUCUGUCUGACAUACAAUUGCUAUUAUUUUCCAAACACUUCAAUAAAAUUGAUGGCUUGUAAUCUUAAUUCACACUCGUUUGAAGUCAGGGGGAGAAACUGGAUUAAACUGGAGAAUGUGCAGUGGGACCAUGAUGCAUGAUUAACUCGGGCCUUUUUGAUGUAGCUGAGAUUGCACAUAAAAUAUUUCCUCCUGCUUUAUUAGCAGUGUCUAGGCAGCUCGAAGCACCCCGUUUAUUGUGUACAGCACUGGGUGGCUGAUCCUGCCGACUGAUGCCAGGGGUGCGUGCACCUUUUACACGGGAGGUGUUCAUUGCUUGCAACUAAAUGAGGAAAAAAGAAUAUUUACUGGAGACAACAGGUGCUGUGUUACUUCAGCAUGUUUGUGCUGGAAACGCAAGUACUGAGUUAUUUACUGGGGACACAAGUACUGAGUUGAUGGAAUCCUGGCCAAAACCCAAAGUGCUGGAGAAACUCAGUGGGUUGGGUAGCAACUGUGGAGGACAUGGAUAGGUGACGUUAAUGGUUUUUCUGGAUGUUUGGUACAAACCAUGGAUGCUAGAGUCACCACCGAUCUUCUGGAGGAGGGAAGGGAAGGAGGAAUAUUCUUUACCUGCAGAGCCCAAAGAAUCCCUCCAAAUCCAAUGAGAGAUGGUCAUACUCAAGGUUAAUGUAAGGGGUGAAGGCCCAAAAGCAUGACUGCAGCACCACAGGAAGAUUAAUGACCUUAUAUGUGGACAAGUUCAGAAGAAAACAUUCAAAUGCUUUUCCCGUAACUACUGCUGCAGCAUUGUGCUUUGUUCCAUCCUGUAGUCCUAUAAUCCUGUUUAAUUAAUAUUGUAUGUUUCACAUUCAAAGAUACAGGUACUACAAUUCUAUACUUUACCUUCCUGAAACAAUACACAGAUUUGGAAUAAAGAAGGCUUGGAAGAUAGCAGAGUCAGGGGAUAUUGGGACAAGGGAGGAACGGGGUACUGAUUGUGGAUGAUCAGCCAUGAUCACAUUGAAUGGCGGUGCUGGCUUGAAGGGCCGUAUGGCCUACUCCUGCACCCAUUGUCUAUUGUCUAUCAUUCCGAAUCCAUAAAAGCAUUCAUUCUCCUUCCAUGGUUGUCUGCCUUCGCCUAUUAAUUGUUUGCAUUCUCUUGUCCAGAGUCUGUCCAUUCCCUCUACAGAUAUUGCCCAACUGUGGGGCGGCAUGGUGUCACAGUAAGUUGCUGGCUUACAGCAACAGAGACCGGGUUCGAUCCCAACUACAGGUGCUGUCUGUACGGAGUUUGUACGUUCUACCCGUGACUGCGUGUGCUUUCUCUGAGAUCUUCGGUUUCCUCCCACACUCAAAGACGUACAGGUUUGUAAGUUAAUUGGCUCGGUAGAAAUGUAAAUUGUGUGAAGGAUAGUGUUGAUGUGCGGGGGUCGCUUGUCGGUGCGGGCUCGGUGGGCCAAAGGGCCAAAGGGCCUGUUUCCGCACUGUAUCUCUAAACUAAACCUGCCGACUCCCACCUGAACUUUGUAGUUCUUAAAGCUCGGAUUGUCGUAGGUCUGAACAGGUUUGCUCAGAUGCAGGGCUGCAUGGAGAUUUGAACCAAAGGAUGAGAAGUUACAAACCAAAGACUAUUGCAGCCUAGGUAACAGUGUAAAUGGCUGAUGCAUAAACAGAAUGCGGUAGGAGUUUAGUUUUGGGGAGCAGAGUUAUUGAUAAGGAUGGUGCAGGCACAUGCCGUGAGUAAUUACUCAGGGUAGGCAGUCAGUCGGCUUUUAAAAAAUCUUAAACCGCGCAUGCGCAGAUUAUGUCUACCUGAGAGAUCGAUCUCUUAGGUAGGCAUCAUUCUUCUGUGCCUUUAUAAUUUAUAUUUAAUAAUUACCAUUUUAUAAUUUUAGUCAGGGUAGGCAGUACCUACAUUGCCUACCCUAUCGGCAUGUGCCUGGGAUGGUGUGAGGUAAAGGCUGGCCAUUUGAGAACACGGGCCUAGAAUUAUUGCAUAUUUGGGUUUGUUCCCAAACAAAUUCUUGCUUUAUCUUUAAAUUCGUGCCUUUUCUUUAAAUCUUGUAACAUCUUCCAUAUUUCCAGCAGAUCUCUUUAUAAAGUAAUCACGAGUUAAUUCUUUACUAGCAUACUUAAUACCUCUAUUUCAAACCUCAUGUGUAGCACCCUGAGUCUAUUCGCAUUUUUCCUUAACAGAGGUUACCAGCAAUAGCAGGAACUUGAUGGAAAAUGUGUUUUUCUGAAAAGUCAUUGAGUCAUUUUCAAAAGAAAUAGUGCGCUGAAUGGCUAAAUUAAUGAAUUUUCCAACAUUUAGCAGCUUGAUCAUUAUUAGGAGUUAUUAUUGCAGGUGCGCUGUGACUGUCUGCCAGCGACACUUCACUAAGCAAUCGCAUUCUUGUUGGAUAAAACGCAUUUCUAAGCAGGAUUUAGCGGUGAUAUAUUUCUCUUAAUUUCCAUAACUAAAGGAAUGUUGAAUUCCACUAAUGUGGUAAAGCAUUUCUUAAGAAGUUUCAGAAUAAUAAAGUGCUUUAACAGAAGUGCUUAUGGAUGUACACACCCAUGUACCCACAUCCAUUUAGCUUUAAAGGAAAUGGUGUUGAUGAUGAGAUAUGCCUUAUUAAAUGUGUUAUAAAGUGAUGGGCUCGAUACUACAAUGAUAACUGGUUGAUUUUUUUUUCUUUUCAUCUGCAAAAAUAAACAGCCACAAUCCAGAUAUUUUGGUUUAGUUUCGAGUUUAGAGAUACAGCGCGGAAACAGGCCCUUCGGCCCACCGAGUCCGUGUUGACCAGCGAUCCCCGCACACUAACACUAUCUUAGACACACUAGGGAUAAUUUUUACCGAAGCAAAUUAGCCUACAGCCCUGUACGUCUUUGGAGUGCAAAAGAAAACCGGAGCACCCAGAGAAAAUGCACGCGGGCACAUGGAGAAAGUACAAACUCCAUACAGACAGCAAUCGUGGCCAGGAUGGAAACUGGGUUUCUAACGCUGUAAGGCAGCAACUACCUCUGCGCCUCCCCGCCACCUUUGAAAUAGUUAUAUUUGCUAAACAUGGAAUAAUGUAGAGGUUCAGUUCAGUUUCCACUAAAGUCAAUGAGACAACAUUUUAUAAGCAGAAUAACAUAGACCCGUUACCACAAUUGUGAAUGCAUCUGAUGAAACCUAGUACACAUUCUUUACUUCAGCUGCAGGCCAGGUAGCAAUUAGGCAGAAAAAACACUUCAUGAAAUUAGCCACAUUUCAUUAGCCCACAGCUAACAAUGGCCUGUUUCUUGAUCGUUACUUCAUUUGUUCUAUAACUCUCUAUAUCACUAUCUAUGUCUCUAUUUCCCUUUCCCCUGACCCUCAGUCUGAAGAAUGGUCAUGACCUGAAACGUCACCAAUUCCUUCUAUCCAGAUAAAUUGUCUGACCCACUGUUACUCCAGCUUUUUGUGUCUAACUUCAUGAAAAAAGGAGUUCUGGUGAAAGUUUACUGAACUGUAAUAUUGCACUGAAGAUAGACACAAAUUACAGGAGUAACUCAGCGGGACAGGCAACAUUCCCGGAGAGAAGGAACAUUUCAAGUCGAGAUCCUUCUUCAGGCUGAUCAGACUGUCAGUGUAUUAUUGCACCCUUUUGUGUCCCUGUCACCUCUAGCCUUUGUUACUUCCGCCAGGUGCCGCCAGCUCGUUGGGUCCCCUGGUGGAAGUGGGGGGUAGAGCAACGGGAGCCUCGCCCCAUUACCAGGUGACCGAGGCACGCGUUGCCAGGGCUGUGUAGGUGCAAUGGCGCGCACUACAUCGGCAUUCCGACCCGCCGGGACCUCACUUUGUGGCAGCCGCUGCAAACCCACGCCCAAUGCAUCGCUCCUCAAGUGUGUUUUUAACUGCUCGCUCUCUCCUACCCACCACCUUUCCGCUGCCCAAGGCCUCACUGCACGCCGAGCACCAACCGCCACCACGAACGGACGCCUCAGUUUGUUUUGACCAAAACCCGUUAUAUAGAAGAUAGACACAAAGAGCUGGAGUAACUCAGCGGGACAGGCAGCAUCUCUGGAGGGAAGGAAUGGGCGAUGUUUCGGGUCGCGACCCUUCUUCAGACUAGUCAGGGGAAAGAGAUACAUGAGAUAUAGAUGGUGAUGUAGAGAGAUAAAGAACAAUGAAUAAAAGAUAUGCAAAAAAGUAACGAUGAUAAUGGAAACAGGCCAUUGUUAACUGUUUGUUGGGUGAAAACGAGAAGCUGGUGCGACUGGUGGGGAAGGGAUAGAGAGAGAGGGAAUGGCGGGGUUACUUGAAGUUAGAGAAAUCAAUAUUCACACCACUGGGCUGUAAGCUGCCCAAGCGAAAUAUAAGAUGUUGUUCCUCCAAUUUGCGAUUAGCCUCACUCUGACAAUAGAGGAGACCUAGAAUAGAAAGGUCAGUGUGGGAAUGAGAAGGAGAAUUAAAGUGUUUAGCAACCAGGAGAUCAGGUAGGUCCAGGCGGACUGAGCGAAGGCGUUCAGCAAAACGAUCGACCACCCUACGUUUGGUCUCGCCGACGUAUAAGAGUCCACAUCUUGGACAACGGAUACAGUCGAUGAGGCUGGAGGAGGUGAGGUCCGUAAUUGAGAGGAUUUAAUGUAUUAUACAUCUAAUAUUAGGGAACAAUUGUUUCACAUCCUUCAUGCUACAAUCCCCUAUUGAGGUCACCUGUGUGCUACAGAAUACUCUGUCUAACACGAUCUUCAGUAACACGCCAAAAAAUGAAAUUACAGACUGCCUGUACACUUCUUCGAGCUAGAUGCCAGGCAGAUUCCUGGUAUAUACCUCCAACAUAAAAAAUGCAAGCAAGGCUGUAAUCCAGCUAUUUGGUGAAAUUGGACCCUUCACUGUAGGUUAAGUCAAUGUACAGCGAGCAUCACCCUCUACAGAUGCUGCCUGACCCGCUGAGUUCCUCGAGCACUUGCUUUUUUUUUUGCAACAGUUAACAUCAAGCAGUUGCUAACAUUAUUGUGAUGAGGUCGCAGCACUAAUGCUUUGUGCAUUUUCUGUGCAUGUAUUAAAUGUCAUGUGUUAAUCACAUAUUGCAAUCCUACCAACUUUCCAUGAUUAUCCAGUUAAACCCACAACAUUUUAACAGAAGCAGUAACUGCUGUGUUCUCAUAUUUCCAAAGAAUCAAAAUUGGAUCAGUGGACUAAGAUGCCAAGAGAGGAUUGUAGCUUGAUCGAAGUUACGCCUUUUUAAGAUUUAUAAAUAGUUUCAUUGACAAAAGGAAACAGUCCCCAAAGAAAGAGUAAAAAGUUUUCAUGCCUCUGUGCAACUCUGAGCAGUCUACAACAUGUAUAUUCCUCACAUUCCUUUUUUAUUACCAACUACGAUAUAAGACAGUGAUCCCUUUAACAAAUAGCUGAAUAAGAUACAGGCUCAAGGAAAGAGCAGAAAAGUGAGAUUUACUGAAUGGCUCUUUCAAAAAGAUGCACAAAGGGCUAAAUGGUCUUCUGUGCAGUAGGAGUCUGUGAUUCUAGAAGAUACCGGGGGUAAAUCCACAAACUGGCUCUCGUAGACGCAAGUGUUGGGAAAUCAAGAGAUGCACAAUCUGUGAUUUAUUGUUCAUUAAUGAGCAGAAAACCGUGAACCACUUGAAGAGAUACACUGCCGCUGAGUGUUGCUCCUUGCUGCAUGCUCCCAGAUCACUGAAUCACUCCUCUUGCAGAUGUUCAUUUGUAUUUGGUGUUUUCAACAAUGAAUGCUCCUGCAACUUUGGUUUCAAUAGCCCAGCCGUUUUCACAAAUUAUCUCGUGUUGGACAGAGCUGGUUAAGAGGUUGGACGCAUCUGGGAUGCAGCAUAUCAGAAUCUGCCCCUGGCAAAGAAUAAGGAAAAGUCAACAGGAAUUAAGUUUCAGUGCAACUGUUUACUCAACUGUGGCCUGCAGUUAUUGAAAUCUUAUCCAUGGUUUUGUGUGACUACAGCAAUAAUGAAUUCAGCAUGACUGCAGUCCUCUAAGUAAUGGCA
This is a long non-coding RNA of Leucoraja erinaceus (little skate), 8685 nucleotides long. RefSeq lists it as uncharacterized. The record is from RefSeq and is a predicted model, not a curated record. The transcript has 3 exons. Lineage: Eukaryota; Metazoa; Chordata; Chondrichthyes; Rajiformes; Rajidae.